CAAGAAGNNGCAGGCGCGCAAAUUACCCACUCCCGGCACGGGGAGGUAGUGACGAAAAAUAACGAUACGGGACUCAUCCGAGGCCCCGUAAUCGGAAUGAGCACACUUUAAACCCUUUAACGAGUAUCCAUUGGAGGGCAAGUCUGGUGCCAGCAGCCGCGGUAAUUCCAGCUCCAAUAGCGUAUAUUAAAGUUGUUGCGGUUAAAAAGCUCGUAGUUGGACUUGUGUCCCACGCUGUCGGUUCACCGUUCGUCGGUGUCUAACUGGCAUGCCCGUGCGGACGUCCUGCCGGUGGAUGCGGCCGGCCGCGGGCCUUCGCGGGUCUGCGCGUCGGCGGUCCGAUGCAAUCCUACCGCGGUGCUCUUCACCGAGUGUCGAGGUGGGCCGGCACGUUUACUUUGAACAAAUUAGAGUGCUCAAAGCAGGCAGUGGCUCGCCUGAAUAUUGUGUGCAUGGAAUAAUGGAAUAGGACCUCGGUUCUAUUUUGUUGGUUUUCGGAACCAGAGGUAAUGAUUAAUAGGGACAGAUGGGGGCAUUCGUAUUGCGACGUUAGAGGUGAAAUUCUUGGAUCGUCGCAAGACGAACCUAAGCGAAAGCAUUUGCCAUAGAUGUUUUCAUUAAUCAAGAACGAAAGUUAGAGGUUCGAAGGCGAUCAGAUACCGCCCUAGUUCUAACCAUAAACGAUGCCAGCCAGCGAUCCGCCGAAGUUCCUCCGAUGACUCGGCGGGCAGCUUCCGGGAAACCAAAGCUUUUGGGUUCCGGGGGAAGUAUGGUUGCAAAGCUGAAACUUAAAGGAAUUGACGGAAGGGCACCACCAGGAGUGGAGCCUGCGGCUUAAUUUGACUCAACACGGGAAACCUCACCAGGCCCGGACACCGGANGGAUUGACAGAUUGAGAGCUCUUUCUUGAUUCGGUGGGUGGUGGUGCAUGGCCGUUCUUAGUUGGUGGAGUGAUUUGUCUGGUUAAUUC
This 970-nucleotide ribosomal RNA is filed under the name Prisopus conocephalus. RNAcentral describes it as "SSU rRNA". It matches the Rfam family "Eukaryotic small subunit ribosomal RNA", at positions 417 to 1325 of the family's 1831-position model. The record is from RNAcentral. Lineage: Eukaryota; Metazoa; Arthropoda; Insecta; Phasmatodea; Prisopodidae.